Molecule: ribosomal RNA, 253 nt
Filed under: uncultured bacterium
Lineage: Bacteria
Description: partial 16S ribosomal RNA
Rfam family: Bacterial small subunit ribosomal RNA
Source: RNAcentral
UACGUAGGGUGCAAGCGUUAUCCGGAAUUAUUGGGCGUAAAGAGCUUGUAGGCGGCUUGUUGCGUCUGCUGUGAAAACCGGAGGCUCAACCUUCGGCCUGCAGUGGGUACGGGCAAACUAGAGUGCGGUAGGGGAGAUUGGAAUUCCUGGUGUAGCGGUGGAAUGCGCAGAUAUCAGGAGGAACACCGAUGGCGAAGGCAGAUCUCUGGGCCGUAACUGACGCUGAGGAGCGAAAGCGUGGGGAGCGAACAGG